RNAcentral lists this ribosomal RNA (453 nucleotides) under uncultured bacterium. RNAcentral describes it as "bacterial SSU rRNA". It matches the Rfam family "Bacterial small subunit ribosomal RNA", at positions 9 to 507 of the family's 1533-position model. The record is from RNAcentral.
UAGUUUGAUCAUCGGCUACGAGAACGAACGCUGGCGGCAGGCUUAACACAUGCAAGUCGAACGAAGCCUUCGGGCUUAGUGGCGACGGGUGAGUAACGCGUGGGAACGUGCCCUUCUCUACGGAAUAGUCUCGGGAAACUGGGGGUAAUACCGUAUACGCCCUUCGGGGGAAAGAAUUUCGGAGAGGGAUCGGCCCGCGUUGGAUUAGGUAGUUGGUGGGGUAAUGGCCUACCAAGCCGACGAUCCAUAGCUGGUUUGAGAGGAUGACCAGCCACACUGGGACUGAGACACGGCCCAGACUCCUACGGGAGGCAGCAGUGGGGAAUCUUAGACAAUGGGCGCAAGCCUGAUCUAGCCAUGCCGCGUGGACGAUGAAGGCCUUAGGGUUGUAAAGUCCUUUCGCUGGGGAAGAUAAUGACUGUACCCAGUAAAGAAGCCCCGGCUAACUCCGUG